CCUACGGGGGGCAGCAGUGAGGAAUAUUGGUCAAUGGGCGGGAGCCUGAAACAGCCAAGCCGCGUGAGGGAAGAAGGUACAGCGUAUCGUAAACCUCUUUUGUCAGGGAACAAAGGCGGGGACUAGUCCCCGGAUGAGGGUACCUGAAGAAAAAGCAACGGCUAACUCCGUGCCAGCAGCCGCGGUAAUACGGAGGAUGCGAGCGUUAUCCGGAUUUAUUGGGUUUAAAGGGUGCGCAGGCGGCCUGUUAAGUCAGGGGUAAAAGCUCGGGGCUCAACCCCGGCGAGGCGUUGAAACUGGGGGGCUGGAGUUGGAGAGAAGUACGCGGAAUGCGGUGUGUAGCGGUGAAAUG
RNAcentral lists this ribosomal RNA (352 nucleotides) under uncultured bacterium. Its description in RNAcentral is "partial 16S ribosomal RNA". It matches the Rfam family "Bacterial small subunit ribosomal RNA", at positions 338 to 688 of the family's 1533-position model. The record is from RNAcentral.